This 254-nucleotide ribosomal RNA is filed under the name uncultured bacterium. RNAcentral's name for it is "partial 16S ribosomal RNA". It matches the Rfam family "Bacterial small subunit ribosomal RNA", at positions 524 to 776 of the family's 1533-position model. The record is from RNAcentral.
UACGUAGGGUGCGAGCGUUAAUCGGAAUUACUGGGCGUAAAGCGUGCGCAGGCGGUCUGUUAAGACCGAUGUGAAAUCCCCGGGCUUAACCUGGGAACUGCAUUGGUGACUGGCAGGCUUUGAGUGUGGCAGAGGGAGGUAGAAUUCCACGUGUAGCAGUGAAAUGCGUAGAGAUGUGGAGGAAUACCGGUGGCGAAGGCGGCAUCCCGGACCGGCAUUGACGCUGAUGAGCGAAAGCUAGGGGAGCAAACGGG